GGUGUGGCGUUACUGGAGGAAGUGUGUCACUGGGGGUGGGCUUUGAGGUUUCAGAAGCUCAUGCCAGGCCCAGUGUCUCACUCUCUCUUCCUGCUGCCUGCGGAUCC
RNAcentral lists this microRNA precursor (107 nucleotides) under Mesocricetus auratus (golden hamster). RNAcentral describes it as "miRNA (ENSMAUG00000006337.1)". Lineage: Eukaryota; Metazoa; Chordata; Mammalia; Rodentia; Cricetidae. The record is from RNAcentral.